This 1107-nucleotide ribosomal RNA is filed under the name uncultured bacterium. RNAcentral's name for it is "bacterial SSU rRNA". It matches the Rfam family "Bacterial small subunit ribosomal RNA", at positions 8 to 1104 of the family's 1533-position model. The record is from RNAcentral.
AGAGUUUGAUCCUGGCUCAGAUUGAACGCUGGCGGCAGGCCUAACACAUGCAAGUCGAACGGUAACAGGAAGAAGCUUGCUUCUUUGCUGACGAGUGGCGGACGGGUGAGUAAUGUCUGGGAAACUGCCUGAUGGAGGGGGAUAACUACUGGAAACGGUAGCUAAUACCGCAUAACGUCGCAAAACCAAAGAGGGGGACCUCCGGGCCUCUUGCCAUCGGAUGUGCCCAGAUGGGAUUAGCUAGUAGGUGGGGUAACGGCUCACCUAGGCGACGAUCCCUAGCUGGUCUGAGAGGAUGACCAGCCACACUGGAACUGAGACACGGUCCAGACUCCUACGGGAGGCAGCAGUGGGGAAUAUUGCACAAUGGGCGCAAGCCUGAUGCAGCCAUGCCGCGUGUAUGAAGAAGGCCUUCGGGUUGUAAAGUACUUUCAGCGGGGAGGAAGGGAGUAAAGUUAAUACCUUUGCUCAUUGACGUUACCCGCAGAAGAAGCACCGGCUAACUCCGUGCCAGCAGCCGCGGUAAUACGGAGGGUGCAAGCGUUAAUCGGAAUUACUGGGCGUAAAGCGCACGCAGGCGGUUUGUUAAGUCAGAUGUGAAAUCCCCGGGCUCAACCUGGGAACUGCAUCUGAUACUGGCAAGCUUGAGUCUCGUAGAGGGGGGUAGAAUUCCAGGUGUAGCGGUGAAAUGCGUAGAGAUCUGGAGGAAUACCGGUGGCGAAGGCGGCCCCCUGGACGAAGACUGACGCUCAGGUGCGAAAGCGUGGGGAGCAAACGGGAUUAGAUACCCUGGUAGUCCACGCCGUAAACGAUGUCGACUUGGAGGUUGUGCCCUUGAGGCGUGGCUUCCGGAGCUAACGCGUUAAGUCGACCGCCUGGGGAGUACGGCCGCAAGGUUAAAACUCAAAUGAAUUGACGGGGGCCCGCACAAGCGGUGGAGCAUGUGGUUUAAUUCGAUGCAACGCGAAGAACCUUACCUGGUCUUGACAUCCACGGAAGUUUUCAGAGAUGAGAAUGUGCCUUCGGGAACCGUGAGACAGGUGCUGCAUGGCUGUCGUCAGCUCGUGUUGUGAAAUGUUGGGUUAAGUCCCGCAACGAGCGCAACCC